CCUACGGGUGGCAGCAGUGAGGAAUAUUGCUCAAUGGGCGCGAGCCUGAACCAGCCACGUAGCGUGAAGGAUGACUGCCCUACGGGUUGUAAACUCCUUUUAUAAGGGAGUAAAUUAAGCCACGUGUGCCUUUUUGUUUGUAGUUUAUGAAUACGGUUCGGCUAACCCCGGUACAGCAGCCGCGUCAAUACGGAGACGCAGUGCGUUGUCCGGAUUUAGUGGGGUUAAAGGGCGCGUAGCUGGGUUGUUAAGUCAGUUGUGAAAGUGUGCGGCUCAACCGGAAAAUUGCAAUUGAUACAGGCAGCCUUGAGUACAGUUGAGGUAAGCGGAAUUCGUGGUGUAGCGGUGAAAUGCUUAGAUAUCACGAAGAACUCCGAUUGCGAAGGCAGGUUACUAAACUGCCACUGACAUUGAUGCUCGAAAGUGUGGGUAGCAAACAGGAUUAGAUACCCUGGUAGUC
This 460-nucleotide ribosomal RNA is filed under the name uncultured bacterium. Its description in RNAcentral is "partial 16S ribosomal RNA". It matches the Rfam family "Bacterial small subunit ribosomal RNA", at positions 338 to 795 of the family's 1533-position model. The record is from RNAcentral.